This is a long non-coding RNA of Chenopodium quinoa (quinoa), 324 nucleotides long. RefSeq lists it as uncharacterized. NCBI's taxonomy places the organism in Eukaryota, Viridiplantae, Streptophyta, Magnoliopsida, Caryophyllales, Amaranthaceae. The record is from RefSeq and is a predicted model, not a curated record. The transcript has 3 exons.
GAGAGAUAGUAAGGGUACCUAGAAACUGGGUGCCCAAACAUGAAUUUUUUAGGGACGAAUGCUUCUUGUCCGCUUGUGGUCUAAGCAGCAUGUUUAAAAAACAAGAAGCCAAGAAAAUGCUGCCCACCGAGAAGACACCGGCUAGGUCGGCUGCCGACAUCCGGAAAGCCAAUCUCGAGAAAAAACUUGCUGCCCAGGCGGCGAGGAAGGACGGGAAGCAGAUGCCCCGGUCCCUUCAAAAACAGGUCAGGCCUCCGCCGACCCAACAAGAGUCUGCAUCCAAGGUGCAGAAGACAGCCGACCGGCAAACUACCGGCGGCAAAU